Peromyscus eremicus (cactus mouse) is the source of this 708-nucleotide long non-coding RNA. RefSeq lists it as uncharacterized. Lineage: Eukaryota; Metazoa; Chordata; Mammalia; Rodentia; Cricetidae. The transcript has 6 exons. The record is from RefSeq and is a predicted model, not a curated record.
GGCAGAUACCAUUGCCAGACACCUCCAGAACUGUGAGCUAAAUUAACUUCUUAUCCUAUAAAACACUCAGGUCCAAAUAUUUUGUUACAGGAACACAAAAUGGGCUACAAAGGUUGAGAGGAACAUGAAUGAAUCUGAAAGGGACAGAUGAAUAAUUAUGACGUCAGCUGAAAUCUGGAUCUGUGAUUUGUGAUGAGGAGUCAUGAAGAAACUGCCUGGGAAGGAAGAUCUGACAUUGAAUGCUUGCUCAUCAAUGCUCACUGCUGCCCUGUUCCAAAUGCUAAGAAACAGCUUAUCAAUUGAUUAAUGGAUAAUGAAAACAUGGAGUAAACAAUGAAAUAUCACUCUGCUAUAAAGAAAAAUUAUAAAAUUCUCAAGCAAAUGGAAGGAGAUAAGAAAUAAUCAUUCUUAGUGAGUCAGUCCUGGCGACCCUGACCAGCCCCCUUGAACUUCACACUGCUGAGCUUUCUACUUGGAAAGAGCCCACCAGAACUUAGAAGACUCUGGAUCUAAGCGCCCAGAGGACUGACCACCAAGCAGGCCUUUGCUAAGCUGUGUGGUGUGAGAUGAGACACUUCAGCGUCCAACCUGUGUCUUGUAAAAGCAGAGCUGGCAGCGAUACCUGCCUCGGGUUUUUUUUUUUUUUUUUUAAUGAACGUUAAAUGCAGACAAGUCUGGUAGAACCAUUCAACAAAAAUGGGUUUCUUU